Molecule: ribosomal RNA, 253 nt
Filed under: uncultured bacterium
Lineage: Bacteria
Description: partial 16S ribosomal RNA
Rfam family: Bacterial small subunit ribosomal RNA
Source: RNAcentral
GACAGAGGGUGCAAACGUUGUUCGGAAUUACUGGGCGUAAAGCGAGUGUAGGCGGUUCGAUAAGUCGGAUGUGGAAGCCCCGGGCUCAACCCGGGAAGUGCACUCGAUACUGUCGAGCUAGAGUAUCGGAGAGGUUGGUGGAAUUCUCGGUGUAGAGGUGAAAUUCGUAGAUAUCGAGAGGAACACCGGUGGCGAAGGCGGCCAACUGGACGAAUACUGACGCUGAGACUCGAAAGCGUGGGGAGCAAACAGG